CAAAAUAAAAAAUAAAAUACAAAACAACUUGUCUGAUGCCCCCCUGCCACCACAUUUCAAGUGAAGUGCAGGGAAAUGUCCCUUCCCUGCAUGCCUGCUCUUCAUUCUUCAGUCCACAAGCCUCGUGUUUGUGCAGCUCCUGGCCUGUCACCCAGCCCGAGUUAUCGGUGACGAUAACAUCUAGAGAGACUGGCUUCCUCUAGUCAUGAAGUGUCAGGCGCUGCUCCCUCCUCCCCAAACUCCAGACUUGGCUGAGGGACUCUCUGUCCCAUCUUCUCACCUCUCCUGCACCAAAGGGUUCUUGGUUUACCUGGGAAGGAUGUGAGCCAAGUCCCCAGACUUCUCCCUGCCCUAGCACCCCAUUGAGAAAAGCCAUCUCCCAUCCCCAGGCUGCUAUCUUUCCUCCUUAGGGUUGGCACCUUCCAGAGUCACCUCCUUGAUUGUACACACUGAUUGAGGGGCCCCACCUGGGAUUCUGGGAAGCCUGGCAGGCCUGUGGGUGACCUUGAACUCGUCCUUUCUCUCGCUUGAGAUCUCUCCUCUGAGCCAAGAGGGGAGGUCAACCUCAACUUGUCCCCUUAGCAGCCUUAUUUAUAUUGCUAAAUAACGAUGAUGAUGAUGAUGACAACGACAAUGACACAGCAGUUACUGCCCACUGUUCUAAGUGCUCUACAUAAAUCAACUCAAUCCUCACAGCAGCCCUUCGAUGGAGGUCCUCCUAGUUGCCCUGUUUUACAAAUGAGGAAACUGAGGCCCAGUAGGUAAAAUGUCUUGCCCAAGGCCACUUAACUUGGAAGUGGCAGAACUGGAAUUUGAACUCGGGUUGUCUGGUUCUAAAGCGUUCAUCACCCCUCUGGACGGGUGUGUGGUUUUCUUAAAGCUCACUACUACAAAUACCUCCAAUCCUAACAGAGCCACCAUUAGCAUUAGUAAAGAGGCAGGCUGGGUGCCAUGGCUCAAGCCUGUAAUCCCAAGCACUUUGGGAGGCCGAGGCGGGUGGAUCACUUGAGGUCAGGAGUUCGAGACCGCCACCAACAUGGUGAAACCCUGUCUCUACUAAAAAAAUACAAAAAAUUAGCUGGGCAUGGUGGCGGGCACCUGUAGUCCUAGCUACUUGGGAGGCUGAGGCAGGAGAAUCAC
RNAcentral lists this long non-coding RNA (1140 nucleotides) under Homo sapiens (human). RNAcentral describes it as "HSALNT0260375". The record is from RNAcentral. Lineage: Eukaryota; Metazoa; Chordata; Mammalia; Primates; Hominidae.